RNAcentral lists this ribosomal RNA (550 nucleotides) under uncultured bacterium. Its description in RNAcentral is "bacterial SSU rRNA". It matches the Rfam family "Bacterial small subunit ribosomal RNA", at positions 8 to 603 of the family's 1533-position model. The record is from RNAcentral.
AGAGUUUGAUCAUGGCUCAGAGCGAACGCUGGCGGCAGGCUUAACACAUGCAAGUCGAGCGGGCGUAGCAAUACGUCAGCGGCAGACGGGUGAGUAACGCGUGGGAACGUACCUUUUGGUUCGGAACAACACAGGGAAACUUGUGCUAAUACCGGAUAAGCCCUUACGGGGAAAGAUUUAUCGCCGAAAGAUCGGCCCGCGUCUGAUUAGCUAGUUGGUGAGGUAAUGGCUCACCAAGGCGACGAUCAGUAGCUGGUCUGAGAGGAUGAUCAGCCACAUUGGGACUGAGACACGGCCCAAACUCCUACGGGAGGCAGCAGUGGGGAAUAUUGGACAAUGGGCGCAAGCCUGAUCCAGCCAUGCCGCGUGAGUGAUGAAGGCCCUAGGGUUGUAAAGCUCUUUUGUGCGGGAAGAUAAUGACGGUACCGCAAGAAUAAGCCCCGGCUAACUUCGUGCCAGCAGCCGCGGUAAUACGAAGGGGGCUAGCGUUGCUCGGAAUCACUGGGCGUAAAGGGUGCGUACGCGGGUCUUUAAGUCAGGGUGAAAUCCU